AACUGCGAGUGAAGCGGGAAAAGCUCAAAUUUAAAAUCUAAUGGUCUUUGGCCGUUCGAGUUGUAAUUUAGAGAAGCGUCUUCCGCGCCAGGACCAUGUACAAGUCUCCUGGAAUGGAGCGUCAUAGAGGGUGAGAAUCCCGUCUUUGACAUGGACCCUCGGUGCUUCUGUGAUGCGCUCUCAAAGAGUCGAGUUGUUUGGGAAUGCAGCUCAAAAUGGGUGGUGAACUCCAUCUAAGGCUAAAUAUUGGCGAGAGACCGAUAGCGAACAAGUACCGUGAGGGAAAGAUGAAAAGCACUUUGGAAAGAGAGUGAAACAGUACGUGAAAUUGUUGAAAGGGAAACGCUUGAAGUCAGUCGCGUCGAUCGAGACUCAGCCUUGCCUCGGCUUGGUGUACUUCUUGACUUUGACGGGCCAGCAUCAAUUUUGUCCCUCGGAUAAUGGCAAGUGAAAUGUGGCACCCGCACGGGUUGUGUUAUAGUCUCUUGUCGCAUACGAGGGGUGGGAUUGAGGACCUCAGCACGCACCUCACGGUGUCGGGGCUUCGGCUCACGUUACGUGCUUAGGAUGCCGGCGUAAUGGCUUUAAAUGACCCGUCUUGAAACACGGACCAAGGAGUCUAACAUGCCUGCGAGUGUUCGGGUGGAAAACCCGUGUGCGUAAUGAAGUAAAAGUUGKGACCUCUGUCUGGAGGGCACCGAUGCCCGGACCAGACCUUCUGUGACGGAUCUGCGGUAGAGCAYGCAUGUUGGGACCCGAAAGAURGUGAACUAUGCCUGAAUAGGKUG
This 788-nucleotide ribosomal RNA is filed under the name Lactifluus sp. JM-2020d. Its description in RNAcentral is "partial large subunit ribosomal RNA". The record is from RNAcentral. Lineage: Eukaryota; Fungi; Basidiomycota; Agaricomycetes; Russulales; Russulaceae.